RNAcentral lists this long non-coding RNA (1731 nucleotides) under Panax ginseng (ginseng). Its description in RNAcentral is "long non-coding RNA (PGIN_LNC007086)". The record is from RNAcentral. Lineage: Eukaryota; Viridiplantae; Streptophyta; Magnoliopsida; Apiales; Araliaceae.
GAGAAGAAGAGCAAAACUCUAGUUUGAGUGUCAAAGAGAGUUAGAGAGUGAGAAGCUCAGUUAGAGCAUUCAGAGAGUGAGGGUGUAGAGAGAAAUAAACAGUUAGUUUAUUUCUCAGUUGAGAGUUUGUAAUCUCCAUAUUAUUUUCAUAAUGAUUUUCUGAGAUCUCUUCCCGUGGUUUUUCUCAGUUGGGUUUCCACGUAAAAUUCUUGUGUUAUUAUUUUAUAUCUCAUACAGUAGUGUAUUUGUAUUUAUCUUAGUGUAUUUGUGUGAGCUUGAUUUUUCAAUAUAAAUUAAAAUAAAUUUUUCUUUCUAAAAUAGAAACGGAGGGAGUAUUCAUUAAAAACAUGAACGAUGCAAGUCACCUGAAAUUGAAAUAACUGAUGUUGAAGUUUUGGAUGCAAGACAAGGCCAUCCUUAACUGCAGGUAACACCAUAGAAUUUGUAAACUCAUGAUUAUGAUAUGAUAGGUAGACAAUAAUUUCACAGUUUUUGGCAAUAAUGGUAAUUACUCAUCAUUUAAUUAAUAUUAGUACAUCCCUAUAUUAAUAUAUAUCGUUGUAUAACAUUAAAUAUAAUAUUAAUUGUUUAUAAUAUCUUUAAAUUUUUAUAAUUAUCAUACUUAUCGCACACUCUCUCAUUCAUAAUAUUUUUUUACGAGGGGUAAUUUUAGAAAUAUUGUAAUUAAUUCUACUAAAUUAUAUAAAAUAACAAAUAAUUAAAAAAAAAAAUUCAUCUAAAACGACAGAACAUUUUUACCUGGAGUUGAAAAACUAGUCCUUUUUGAAACAUUGGAGGAAGCCUCAACUAAAAAGGGCAUAUAUUUGUAAGAGACAAGGUUGACUUCUUCCUUUGUAUCAAAUUCUUGCUUACUUGAAAUAAUACUCUUAGCUUUUGGUGCAUCACUUGAUUCCCUGCAUUGGUGACAUUAUUCAAAAAAAAAAAAAAAAUCUCAUUAAUUAUUUAUCUGAAAUUCUUAUAAAAAUAACCCUCGUUUACAUUUAAAAUGGUAUAGAUUAAAGAAUGUUACUUCAAAAUCGCAUUCGAUCUUCGAAGAAUGGGGAUAGCUGAGUACCAAAAUAAAAAUUUAUUAGAAAUCAUUUGAGAAUACUAGGAACUAAGAGCAUCUACAGCAGGUCAGAGAAGUCAGUAGCCGGACUAAAUUUAGUCCAUGAGUUUUUCUGGUGAAACUGGUGGACUAUAUCAAGGAACUAGAAUUUGAUCGACUAUAAUUUUAAAUAUAUUUAAAUGAGAGGGUGAAAUGAUGAUUAGUGGACUAUAUAUUCAUUAAAAAUAUUAUAAUCUUUUAAUAUUACCGUCCACAAAAUAGUCCAUCUGUUAAAAGGAUCAAAGACUAAAGGACAUCUGUUGAUGUCAUAUGGACUAAAUAUAGUCCAUAUGAUAGUCUAUCUACCGGAGAUGCUCUAACGUGAUGUUUGUUUUCUGGAAUUAUAUUUUUAAAACUAUUAAUUUUAAGAUUAAAUAGUUCUAGUCACGUAUUUGUUAGAGAUUAAUUAAAGAAAGAUAAGAUCAUUACGCUGCAUUAUAUAUCGGGGUUGACAUCGUGGAAAAUCUGCAUUCCAGCUUAGUCUGCUUAGAGCCAGCUUGUGGGAAUAUUGUUGGCAAGUGGUAAGUUUCUAUAGAACAAUAUAUAUAUACAAUAAAACAUGCAUGUAAGAUUAAGCAUAUAUAUAGCCCUCAAAAAGAGUAUCAUAUAUAAAUUAACUUUCA